Molecule: long non-coding RNA, 913 nt
Organism: Pseudopipra pipra
Lineage: Eukaryota; Metazoa; Chordata; Aves; Passeriformes; Pipridae
Exons: 2
Source: RefSeq, a predicted model, not a curated record
UCCGUCAGCUCCUGGACAGCAGGAGAGGCUGCAGAGCCCGUGAAUUAUGUAACGUGCCCUCCCGCCGCCGCGGGGAGAUGCGCUGCGAUGCCCCGCCGGCCGGGACGCCCCUCCCCGCACCCGGCGCUGCCGCCGCUGCCCUCCCGCGAGUCCCCCCCGCUCCCCGGCGCUCGCCCCUUCCCACCCCGCCGCUCCCUCCUCCCCGGCGGGGUCCCCGGCGCGGUGCCCGCGGCGGUCGCAGGGCGGCGGCCGGAGCCCCCCGCGCCCGGCGGAGCGGAGCGGAGCGAGGGCCGGACCCCGCGGGGAGCGCCCGCCCGCCCGGCCGGCACCACAGCGCCCCCAGCCCCCGCCGCUCCGCGCCUGCACCGCCAGCCCGCCCGGCGCCCCCACACACACAAAGUCCCAGCACUCGAUGAAAGAGGCUGGAGUUCCUGUCUUCACCCUUUCUCCGCUGCCUCCCUGUUCUACCAGUCUGUUCUGUGUCCAGGCAACUGCAAAAAGACAUUUCAAAGGCUCCUGCCGUGCCAUGUAGAUGUUUUCUCUAGUUAGUUUGGACUGCAGGUGUGUGAGCCUCAAGGAUGAAGUAUCGUGGUGCUGUUUUAGGUUCGGGGCACACAGUCAUGGCACAAUAAAUCACACAGUAACGCUCGGCUUUGAACACGCGCGCACAGAAAAGGGGAAAGAAAAAAGCAUCUGACCUGAAUCAUUUUCUGGAAACACAUCUGGUUAAAAUCCAAAGUUUUAAAUUGAGUAAUAUUUUAAAAUACAUUUGGUAGGUAUUACAUUACAGUGUUAUAUCUGGUAAUAUUUAUGAUACUAAUGUGUUAAGCGGAGGUUUAUAUCUGUCAAGAAAUAUGAAUGAUUGUCAUAUGGGCUAACAAAUGUAUCCUGAUAUAAAUAACAUUUUAUGAUA